ACACCAGUGGUGAAGUGGUUAUCAUCUUUGCCUUCCAUGAGUUAUCUAGGUCAGCAAAGGGCUCGGGUUCGAAUCCCGGCUGGUGUA
Non-coding RNA from Peniophora sp. CONT, 87 nucleotides. The record is from Rfam. Lineage: Eukaryota; Fungi; Basidiomycota; Agaricomycetes; Russulales; Peniophoraceae.